RNAcentral lists this ribosomal RNA (467 nucleotides) under uncultured bacterium. RNAcentral's name for it is "partial 16S ribosomal RNA". It matches the Rfam family "Bacterial small subunit ribosomal RNA", at positions 29 to 507 of the family's 1533-position model. The record is from RNAcentral.
ACGAACGCUGGCGGCGUGCUUAACACAUGCAAGUCGAACGGAAAGGCCCUGCUUUUGUGGUGUGCUCGAGUGGCGAACGGGUGAGUAACACGUGAGUUACCUGCCCUUGACUUUGGGAUAACUUCAGGAAACUGGGGCUAAUACCGGAUAGGAGCUCCUGCUGCAUGGUGGGGGUUGGAAAGUUUCGGCGGUUGGGGAUGGACUCGCGGCUUAUCAGCUUGUUGGUGGGGUAGUGGCUUACCAAGGCUUUGACGGGUAGCCGGCCUGAGAGGGUGACCGGCGACAUUGGGACUGAGAUACGGCCCAGACUCCUACGGGAGGCAGCAGUGGGGAAUAUUGCACAAUGGGCGGAAGCCUGAUGCAGCAACGCCGCGUGCGGGAUGACGGCCUUCGGGUUGUAAACCGCUUUCGCCUGUGACGAAGCGUGAGUGACGGUAAUGGGUAAAGAAGCACCGGCCAACUACGUG